This 638-nucleotide ribosomal RNA is filed under the name uncultured Actinomycetes bacterium. Its description in RNAcentral is "bacterial SSU rRNA". It matches the Rfam family "Bacterial small subunit ribosomal RNA", at positions 232 to 885 of the family's 1533-position model. The record is from RNAcentral. Lineage: Bacteria; Bacillati; Actinomycetota; Actinomycetes.
CGCGGCCUAUCAGCUUGUUGGUGAGGUAACGGCUCACCAAGGCGUCGACGGGUAGCUAGUCUGAGAGGACGAAUAGCCACACUGGGACUGAGACACGGCCCAGACUCCUACGGGAGGCAGCAGCAGGGAAUCUUGCACAAUGGGCGAAAGCCUGAUGCAGCGACGCCGCGUGGGGGAUGAAGGCCUUUGUGUCGUAAACCCCUUUCAGCAGGGACGAAACUGACGGUACCUGCAGAAGAAGCCCCGGCCAACUACGUGCCAGCAGCCGCGGUAAGACGUAGGGGGCAAGCGUUGUCCGGAAUUAUUGGGCGUAAAGAGCUCGUAGGCGGUUGCGUAAGUCGGAUGUGAAAGCUCAGGGCUCAACCCUGAGAGGCCAUCCGAUACUGCGCUGACUUGAAUCCAGUAGGGGAGUGUGGAAUUCCUGGUGUAGCGGUGAAAUGCGCAGAUAUCAGGAGGAACACCUAUGGCGAAGGCAGCACUCUGGGCUGGUAUUGACGCUGAGGAGCGAAAGCAUGGGUAGCAAACAGGAUUAGAUACCCUGGUAGUCCAUGCCGUAAACGGUGGGCACUAGGUGUGGGGACUUUCAACGGUCUCCGUGCCGAAGCUAACGCAUUAAGUGCCCCGCCUGGGGAGUACGG